This 439-nucleotide ribosomal RNA is filed under the name Stainforthia sp. Its description in RNAcentral is "SSU rRNA". It matches the Rfam family "Eukaryotic small subunit ribosomal RNA", at positions 1176 to 1461 of the family's 1831-position model. The record is from RNAcentral. Lineage: Eukaryota; Foraminifera; Rotaliida; Stainforthiidae.
GUGGAGCAUGUGGCUUAAUUUGACUCAACGCGGGAAAUCUUACCGGGUCCGGACACACUGAGGAUUGACAGGCAAUAUUAAUUUCGCCCCGGCGAUUUUAUGUUAAAUAUGCUAGUCCUUUCAUGAUUAUGUGAUAGGUGGUGCAUGGCCGUUCUUAGUUCGUGGAGUGAUCUGUCUGCUUAAUUGCGUUUCACUAAGGGCCUAUAAUUUAACGUGUGUUGCGGCACUUUGACCCCUCUUCGCGGAGCGUGCGUCUUAGCUUGUUUAGCUCACACAAUUAGGUCCUGAAAGCAACGAACGUGACCGCAACCUCUUGUUGCCUUUAUACCAAACACAGUCUGACCUUCUUCUCGAAGGGCUACCGUGAAAAAAGGCUUUUUAAACUAGAGGGACCGCUGUUACUUUCUUAAACCAGAGGAAGGUUGCGGCAAUAACAGGU